Non-coding RNA from Pelobates cultripes (western spadefoot toad), 206 nucleotides. NCBI's taxonomy places the organism in Eukaryota, Metazoa, Chordata, Amphibia, Anura, Pelobatidae. The record is from the annotation of a GenBank genome assembly.
AAUGCAUACAAAACAUGCAGUGUAAACAGCCUCGCGUCUCCACAUGCAAAUACGUCGAUCAAAAAAGGAUAAUGACUUUUUAUAUAUUUUUUUUUUCUACGAAACAAUACGGCAUUAAGAACCCACGUAUUUGACAUCACGUAUGCCAUCAACUUACAAAGCAGAGAAGCUGAGCAAGAUUUAAGAAGAACAAAUCAAUAUUUUAG